UUAAACUUGUAAUUCAUGGGCGCUUCUGAGACCAUGCUCGUUUUCUUCCACAAGUCUUCAGGUGGCAGAAAAAAAGCUACCUGCAGCGUCAGUCUGUAACCACGCCCACUCGAAUGACAUCACUCACAGGCCACGCCCCACGCACCUGUCCGCUUGGUUUUGCUAGAGCGAAGGGAGCCGAGUGAGUUUGUUCUGCAUCUUUUUACGAUUAAUUUUAGUUUUCCUUUAUUUGAAUGUAGAUAAAAUUGAACUCAUGUGAUUAUGUAGUCUAACUCUCUCAGAGGAAAGGAAACGUAUAUUCGUUGGGAGCUAAAUUGCAUUUUAAUGUAAGCCUUACUUUUCCAACGCUAAUCUUAUUUUUAACAAGCCACUUGUGUGACACAGCGUGUGUAUUUCUUUUUCAUCGAAGAAAAGCUCUGUUGUAGUGUUAAAGACUGCUGUAUUGACAAUGAAAACGUCGCUUUCCAUUUUUUUCUUGAUCUAAAUCUUUCUCAAACAUUUCGUGAACUUUGUUCACAAAAUCAAGCUUCUGCAUUUUUCCAAACCCAAAGUAGCCUUUCUAGAAUUGUAAAGUUUUUUCAUUGUUUUCCAGUGUAUGUUGUGUGCUUGCGUUCCUAUAUUUGAGGUAAAAUUUUUGGAUUGCAAAUAGUUUUAAGUUUAAAUGGUCUUUAAAUUCUGUAUUCUGCAGUUUUUGUGUUUUCAGUUUGGUGUCUUCGGGUAGGACAUGAUUCGCACUAAAUAAACGUAUAAACGUGAGUAUAAACAUUUUAUUAUUUUCUUUACACUUAUCUUAUUGAAAUGUAUUCUGCGCUAUGUACCCUGGUGAAAACGCCGCUCUCUACUUAAGAAAUCUUGGUUUAUAUUACCUUUAAAUUAUCGUCUAAAUACAUCUGUUCAUUUGUUUCCAGUUUAGUGUCUUCGGGCAGGACAUGCUUGGCUCAGGUCCUGGAAUUAUCUAUGAAAUGCAACAACGUUUGUCUUCAUUCUGGUCGCUGUCUCGACAGAUGCCUUGGAGAACCAGUAACGUGCUGUAUGUUUCUGCGUUUUACCAUGUAGUUGCUUGCAAAUCUUUUCAUACUCCGUUUACUUGUAACAGUAUAUAGUGUUAAUGUAGCCGUGUUUUGAGAUUUUGUCAUUUAAAAACGAUAAUUUUCACUUCAAAGCCUUUGUAUGUGUCGUACUGGAAUGCUUUGUUUUGCAUGCACGUUUAGCUCAAUAAAUGGUUAAUUGACGUUUGUG
Molecule: long non-coding RNA, 1239 nt
Filed under: Lepisosteus oculatus (spotted gar)
Lineage: Eukaryota; Metazoa; Chordata; Actinopteri; Semionotiformes; Lepisosteidae
Description: lncRNA (ENSLOCG00000022823.1)
Source: RNAcentral